GUCAGGAUGGCCGAGCGGUCCAAGGCGCUGCGUUCAGGUCACAGUCCAGUCUUCAGGGCGAGGGUUCGAAUCCCUCUUCUGACA
This 84-nucleotide transfer RNA is filed under the name Daphnia galeata. It matches the Rfam family "tRNA". Rfam says of the family: Transfer RNA (tRNA) molecules are approximately 80 nucleotides in length. Lineage: Eukaryota; Metazoa; Arthropoda; Branchiopoda; Diplostraca; Daphniidae. The record is from Rfam by way of RNAcentral.